CAGAGACUCAAAGUAAAUCUUCUCUUUGGCAAAUCAGAAGGCUCUGCAUAAAUCUCACACUCCAAUUCCAAUCGACCUGACCAUCAGAAAAGACAAAAAGGGAAAAUCCUGGCCAGUUCUCCCCUACCUGAUCAACCAGUAGCAUAAUCAGAUUUGCAAGACCUCAAGAAAAGAAACCUGAAAAUGCCACUGGAGGUGUGUGUUUUGCCAAAGAAAAAAGAAUCAAAAACAAAACCUGCAGGAUGAGGACAAACAAACAAAGAGC
Molecule: long non-coding RNA, 265 nt
Filed under: Pan troglodytes (chimpanzee)
Lineage: Eukaryota; Metazoa; Chordata; Mammalia; Primates; Hominidae
Description: long non-coding RNA NONPTRT015535
Source: RNAcentral